GCAUAAUAAUUUGCCUCUUAAUUCGAGGCUGGAAUGAAUGGAAACACGAAAAUAACCCUGUCUCAUCUUUAUCUCUAAAACUUAAACUACAGGUGAAGAUGCCUGUAUACUCUUGAAAGACACGAAGACCCUAUAGAUUUUAAACUGUCAAGUCAAAAAAACGAACCAGUUUUAGUUGGGGCGACUAAGGAUACCAAAAAACAUCCUUUCAAACAUCGAACUAUAACUCUCUUUAAAGAAUUUAUUUUCUAGUACACCAAAAAAAAUUACCUUAGGGAUAACAGGCUUAUCCCCCUAAAAAGUCCAAAUUGAAAGGGGGGUUUGGCACCUCGAUGUUGGCUUAGAGUAACCCGCUAAAGUAGAAAUUAGCCAGGUUAGUGUGUUCAACUAUUAAACCUCU
RNAcentral lists this ribosomal RNA (400 nucleotides) under Bruunilla nealae. Its description in RNAcentral is "partial 16S ribosomal RNA". It matches the Rfam family "Bacterial large subunit ribosomal RNA", at positions 1959 to 2597 of the family's 2925-position model. Lineage: Eukaryota; Metazoa; Annelida; Polychaeta; Phyllodocida; Polynoidae. The record is from RNAcentral.